GCUAGUAAUCGCGAAUCAGAAUGUCGCGGUGAAUACGUUCCCGGGUCUUGUACACACCGCCCGUCACACCAUGGGAGUCGGGAAUGCCCGAAGUCAGUGACCCAACCUUUGGAGGGAGCUGCCGAAGGCAGGUCUGAUAACUGGGGUGAAGUCGUAACAAGGUAUC
Molecule: ribosomal RNA, 166 nt
Filed under: uncultured bacterium
Lineage: Bacteria
Description: partial 16S ribosomal RNA
Rfam family: Bacterial small subunit ribosomal RNA
Source: RNAcentral